UACGUAGGGACCAAGCGUUGUUCGGAUUUACUGGGCGUAAAGGGCGCGUAGGCGGCAACUCAAGUCAUCUGUGAAAUCUCCGGGCUUAACUCGGAACGGUCAAGUGAUACUGUCGGACUAGAGUACAGAAGGGGCAACUGGAAUUCUCGGUGUAGCGGUGAAAUGCGUAGAUAUCGAGAGGAACACCUGCGGCGAAGGCGGGUUGCUGGGCCGACACUGACGCUGAUGCGCGAAAGCCAGGGGAGCGAACGGG
RNAcentral lists this ribosomal RNA (253 nucleotides) under uncultured bacterium. RNAcentral describes it as "partial 16S ribosomal RNA". It matches the Rfam family "Bacterial small subunit ribosomal RNA", at positions 524 to 776 of the family's 1533-position model. The record is from RNAcentral.